AGUUAGCCACCUGGGGAGUACGUUCGCAAGAAUGAAACUCAAAGGAAUUGACGGGGGCCCGCACAAGCGGUGGAUUAUGUGGUUUAAUUCGAUGAUACGCGAGGAACCUUACCAAGACUUAAAUGGGAAUUGACAGGUUUAGAAAUAGACUCUCCUUCGGGCAAUUUUCAAGGUGCUGCAUGGUUGUCGUCAGCUCGUGCCGUGAGGUGUUAGGUUAAGUCCUGCAACGAGCGCAACCCCUGUCACUAGUUGCUAACAUUAAGUUGAGGACUCUAGUGAGACUGCCUACGCAAGUAGAGAGGAAGGUGGGGAUGACGUCAAAUCAUCACGGCCCUUACGUCUUGGGCCACACACGUAAUACAAUGGCCGGUACAGAGGGCAGCUACACAGCGAUGUGAUGCAAAUCUCGAAAGCCGGUCUCAGUUCGGAUUGGAGUCUGCAACUCGACUCUAUGAAUGCUGGAAUCGCUAGUAAUCGCGCAUCAGCCAUGGCGCGGUGAAUACGUUCCCG
This 510-nucleotide ribosomal RNA is filed under the name unidentified microorganism. Its description in RNAcentral is "bacterial SSU rRNA". It matches the Rfam family "Bacterial small subunit ribosomal RNA", at positions 863 to 1376 of the family's 1533-position model. The record is from RNAcentral.